RNA transcript from Cicer arietinum (chickpea), 1756 nucleotides. It is a transcript of the gene named protein ANTI-SILENCING 1-like, with no coding region annotated. Lineage: Eukaryota; Viridiplantae; Streptophyta; Magnoliopsida; Fabales; Fabaceae. The record is from RefSeq and is a predicted model, not a curated record.
AUCACUUAUAAAAAUGCAGAAGCUGCAGCAGCGGUCAAGCUGCGCCGCGCACUCUAGAAAUUCACAACACAUUGUUAGGGUUUGACUUCAAUAGUUUCUCUCUCCUCUCUGCCACUCUCACUCAUCAAUUCAUGGCAACACAACAACCCAUCCUCGCCGUUGAUCAAAAAGAAGAAGAAACCAUCGAAUUCAAAUGGUUAAAAAUGCGUGGAAAAGGCGGCAAAAGGAGAGACACACAGUUCUACGAAUCGUUCACUUUCGACGGCACCAAUUACGAGCUAUUCGAUGUCGUUUAUCUUCAAAAUGGAUCUGCUCCUCACUCCGAACCUCAUAUUGGAAAAAUCAUCAAGAUAUGGGAGACUCCUACUCGUGAAAAGACUAAGAAAAUUAAGAUUCAAUGGUUCUUUCGUCCUCGUGAGAUUUCCAAGUUUUUGAGUGGGAUUGAGAUUUAUUAUAAUGAAUUGUUUUUUGCUGUUGGUGAAGGCACUGGACUUACCAAUAUCAAUCCUUUGGAAUCUAUUAUUGGGAAAUGCAACAUUGUUUGCAUUUCUAAGGACGCUAGAAAUCCACAACCAUCAGAUGAAGCAAUUCGGAGUGCUGACUUUGUGUUCCGUCGUUACUUUGAUGUGGGGCAGCGUAAAGUGUUGGAUGAGAUAGAUGACAAGAUGGCUGGAAUGGAAGUUAAAAACAUAUUUAACAAAAAGGGAUAGUCAAAAGCUUGCUGCUGCUGUAAAACUUUAUUUAUACAAGAAAGGAGUCAGUGAGGAAUGCCAUGAAAAACAAGGAAGUCACUUUUUUUGAGUAAUAAAAAAUAGUCAGCCUGUAACUAAAAGGUAGCUGGCUAAUAUGUUGAUACAUUAGUUACAAAAAGGGGAUGUUAAAUUUAUUUGGAAUAUAAAUAAGUGUGGAGGAAAAACCUCCGUUGAAGAAUAAAUAUCGGAGAUUCAAUUAUUUUUGUGGCGCAGAGGAAGUUUCUUAGACGGGUUGAUUGUAUACACAGAGCUUCAAAUGCUGUUUAGAAGGGGAUUCAAGCUUAUUUUUAUCAACUUGGUAGAAGGAGAUUCAACAAAUGAAGAGAUUAUCACACCAAAAGAAAAAAAAAAUAUAUUAAGAAAAAAACAAAUGAAGAAUGUUUAUUCAUCAAAGUAUUUUAGGUGAAGUGGCAUAUUUCCAUGGGAAUUUACACAAUUCUUCCAAUUAUGACUUGUUCUCAAGCUGGUGAUGACCAGGAGAAGCUCCUGCCUCUUGGCUACUAGAAUUGUGAUGAUUUGCUUCAGCUGAGGAUGAUUUGGCAUGUAAACCACUACCAAGUUUAUCAGUUUUCUUUGUUUCAUCUACAUGCACAUCAUCUUCAACUGUUAUAACUACUGCCUGUUGUCCAAAAGGACCAGGCACAAUGGUUUCCUUGCCCUUUUUAUGCUCAUCGAUAUGGAUGAUAUCGGUUUCUUGUGUCUUCUUCUCCUUCCUCUUCUGAAAGAAGCAGAAUAGAACAAAAGUCAGCAAAGAAAGCAAGACAAGUCCCCCGGAGAAGAUGAAUAAAACUACUAUGACUAUGGGGGGGUUGUUUGGAGAGGGAGAGUUGCUGGAUUGAGUUGAGGCCAUUUUUGUUUUUCAGUUGUAUCAAUCAAUUGAUGAUGUUCUCAAAAUGUUGAUUGUGUGGAAUAUGUUGUGUGGCUUUGGUGCCCUUUUGAAAUGUUGAUUUAUAGGAAAUACGUUGGUAUGGAGUUAUGCAAUUGUUUAAGUAACUUGACUCUCA